AACGAACGCUGGCGGCAGGCCUAACACAUGCAAGUCGAGCGCCCGGAUUUAUCCGGGAGCGGCGCACGGGUGAGUAACGCGUGGGAACAUGCCCUGAAGUACGGAACAACCUGGGGAAACCUUGGCUAAUACUGUAUACGCCCUGAGGGGGAAAGAUUUAUCGCUUUGGGAUUGGCCCGCGUUGGAUUAGCUGGUUGGUGUGGUAACGGCGCACCAAGGCGACGAUCCAUAACUGGUCUGAGAGGAUGACCAGUCACACUGGGACUGAGACACGGCCCAGACUCCUACGGGAGGCAGCAGGGGGGAAUAUUGGACAAUGGGCGAAAGCUUGAUCCAGCCAUGCCGCGUGAGUGAAGAAGGCCUUCGGGUUGUAAAGCUCUUUCAGCGGGGACGAUGAUGACGGUACCCGCAGAAGAAGCCCCGGCUAACUUCGUGCCAGCCGCCGCCGUAA
Molecule: ribosomal RNA, 451 nt
Filed under: uncultured bacterium
Lineage: Bacteria
Description: partial 16S ribosomal RNA
Rfam family: Bacterial small subunit ribosomal RNA
Source: RNAcentral